This 75-nucleotide transfer RNA is filed under the name Bacillota bacterium. RNAcentral describes it as "tRNA-Arg". It matches the Rfam family "tRNA". From Rfam's summary of the family: Transfer RNA (tRNA) molecules are approximately 80 nucleotides in length. Their secondary structure includes four short double-helical elements and three loops (D, anti-codon, and T loops). RNAcentral also lists the same sequence under 1 other name. The record is from RNAcentral. Lineage: Bacteria; Bacillati; Bacillota.
GGCCCAUUAGCUCAACGGAUAGAGUAGCGCUCUCCGAAGGCGUUGAUCGGGGUUCGAUUCCCCGAUGGGUCACCA